Trichonephila inaurata madagascariensis is the source of this 73-nucleotide non-coding RNA. The record is from the annotation of a GenBank genome assembly. NCBI's taxonomy places the organism in Eukaryota, Metazoa, Arthropoda, Arachnida, Araneae, Nephilidae.
GUCCCAGUAGUGCAAUGGAUGCCUCAUUGGACUUCUAAUCGGAAGGUCGUGGGUUCGAAUUCCACCUGAGAUG